RNAcentral lists this ribosomal RNA (634 nucleotides) under uncultured bacterium. RNAcentral describes it as "bacterial SSU rRNA". It matches the Rfam family "Bacterial small subunit ribosomal RNA", at positions 95 to 717 of the family's 1533-position model. The record is from RNAcentral.
GCGGCGAACGGGUGAGUAACACGUGGGCAACCUGCCUCAAGGACUGGGAUAACUCCGGGAAACCGGGGCUAAUACCGGACGAUGUCGUCUCGUGCAAGCGAGCCGACCAAAUGGUAGCUUCGGCCUCCGCCUUGAGAUGGGCCCGCGUCCUAUCAGCUUGUUGGUGAGGUACGGCUCACCAAGGCUACGACGGGUAGCUGGUCUGAGAGGAUGAUCAGCCACACUGGGACUGAGAUACGGCCCAGACUCCUACGGGAGGCAGCAGUGGGGAAUCUUGCGCAAUGGGCGAAAGCCUGACGCAGCAACGCCGCGUGAGCGAAGAUGGCCUUCGGGUUGUAAAGCUCUGUCAGGGGGAAAGAAGGCACCUGGGUUAAUAGCCCAAGGGCUGACGGUACCCCCAAAGGAAGCCACGGCUAACUACGUGCCAGCAGCCGCGGUAAUACGUAGGUGGCAAGCGUUGUCCGGAAUCAUUGGGCGUAAAGAGCGCGUAGGUGGCUUGUCAGGUCUGAUGUGAAAUUUCGGGGCUCAACCCCGACCCUGCAUCGGAAACCGGCUUGCUAGAGUCUGGGAGAGGAGAGUGGAAUUCCUGGUGUAGCGGUGAAAUGCGUAGAUAUCAGGAGGAACACCGGUAGCG